AUACGGAGGGUGCAAGCGUUGUCCGGAUUUAUUGGGUUUAAAGGGUGCGUAGGUGGUUUUUUAAGUCAGUGGUGAAAGCCUACAGCUUAACUGUAGAGGUGCCAUUGAUACUGGGGCACUUGAGUAUGGACGAGGUAGGCGGAAUUUGUGGUGUAGCGGUGAAAUGCAUAGAUACCACAAGGAACACCGAUAGCGAAGGCAGCUUACUGGGCCAUAACUGACACUGAGGCACGAAAGCGUGGGGAGCGAACAGGAUUAGAAACCCCAGUAGUCC
RNAcentral lists this ribosomal RNA (274 nucleotides) under uncultured bacterium. RNAcentral describes it as "partial 16S ribosomal RNA". It matches the Rfam family "Bacterial small subunit ribosomal RNA", at positions 523 to 796 of the family's 1533-position model. The record is from RNAcentral.